Molecule: long non-coding RNA, 797 nt
Organism: Notolabrus celidotus (New Zealand spotty)
Lineage: Eukaryota; Metazoa; Chordata; Actinopteri; Labriformes; Labridae
Exons: 2
Source: RefSeq, a predicted model, not a curated record
GUCAACACGCAGAGAGCGCUAAUGAAGAACAGGCUGAUGAUGCGCCGCGCAGACAGCACAGACAGAGGAGGCAGAGAGCAGCUGGGUGAGUGAAGCUCCUUUGGCAUGAAGAGUUCUUAACAUUUCAGAAGAGGAACCAGUCUGAAGUUACUCUGCGUGUUUCAUUCUCCGGGCUGCGGGGUUUGUUGUUGACACGGCUUCACAAAGAAAUCCACGGACACCCGAGACCCUGACGUUUUCCCUCCGCUCUGGGCGUCAUGGUGGCAGCAGUCCUCAAGAUCUACUUCAUCGGGACAGCACUGAGUGUCCUCGCCGUCUUCUAUGGGAUAAUAGACUCCUUUGGCGGCCUGAUGUACGUCCAGGACCGUCACUAUGUUUUGGAUCUGGAGCCCCACACACAGAGGCAGACGCCCUCAGAGAACCAGGGGAGAGGAUCCACCGUGACCAAGAACAUCGGCUCAUGAGGGAAACAUAAACAUGGCUGCUGGAUGGAUGCGCUGUGGGACUUUAUAUAAAGACAGGUUGGACAAUCACAAGGACACGGGUCUGUCCAGCCGGCUGGAUGAGUUCGGCAUUUAAAGGUGCCUCAGCAGAUCUCUGUGACCCGCUCUGUACAAUCUGCUGUCAGACACCGAGCAGCUAAAUGUGUUGGAGCAGCUACAAAUGUGACGAGAUGCAUGACAGCACUACUGAACAACGACUUGCACUAAAUUCAGGAUGUUUUUCACUUUCAGAUGUAUAUUUGUAUAUUUGUAGUUUUAUUAAAUAAAAGGAAUGAGAUGAUUGAAAUAAGAACA